RNAcentral lists this ribosomal RNA (266 nucleotides) under uncultured bacterium. RNAcentral's name for it is "partial 16S ribosomal RNA". It matches the Rfam family "Bacterial small subunit ribosomal RNA", at positions 1053 to 1319 of the family's 1533-position model. The record is from RNAcentral.
CGUCAGCUCGUGUCGUAAGAUGUUGGUUAAGUCCCGCAACGAGCGCAACCCCUAUUGCCAGUUACCAGCGGGUUAUGCCGGGGACUCUGGUGAGACUGCCGGGGACAACUCGGAGGAAGGUGGGGAUGACGUCAAAUCAUCAUGCCCCUUAUGUCUUGGGCUACACACGUGCUACAAUGGCUGAAACAAAGGGAUGCAACAACGUAAGUUGAAGCGGAUCUCAUAAAAACAGUCCCAGUUCGGAUUGUGGGCUGCAACCCGCCCAC